UCGCGCUCAGCCUCUGAGCACCAUUGAGUCACACCAACACCAAAGUUUUAGAGAAACAUUUAUUACAGGGUUGCAGAAUUUAUGUCAAUAUAAAGUCCCUUAUUAAAACUCUCAGGUUUAUCAACUGCAGGACACUAACUCUUCCCUAUCUUUAUCCUGCAGCUUUCAAAAAAAGGAACGAUACUCUUGACUGCAGGAGUAAUAUGCUACUUGCUCAUACAACCACAGUCACAUUCACAAGAAGCUACAAGAUAAACGAAUUCAUAACCAAAAAUACUGACAAGCUUUAAGGGUAACUCCAUCCAAAUCUAACAACUAAAUACCACAAAACCAAACAAAUGUGUAAGAAU
Molecule: long non-coding RNA, 350 nt
Filed under: Dromaius novaehollandiae (emu)
Lineage: Eukaryota; Metazoa; Chordata; Aves; Casuariiformes; Dromaiidae
Description: lncRNA (ENSDNVG00000005436.1)
Source: RNAcentral